This 253-nucleotide ribosomal RNA is filed under the name uncultured bacterium. RNAcentral's name for it is "partial 16S ribosomal RNA". It matches the Rfam family "Bacterial small subunit ribosomal RNA", at positions 524 to 776 of the family's 1533-position model. The record is from RNAcentral.
UACGAAGGGAGCUAGCGUUGUUCGGAAUUACUGGGCGUAAAGGGCGCGUAGGCGGUUUAGUAAGUCAGAUGUGAAAGCCCCGGGCUUAACCUGGGAACAGCAUUUGAUACUGCUAGACUAGAGAUCGAAAGAGGAGAGUGGAAUUGCGAGUGUAGAGGUGAAAUUCGUAGAUAUUCGCAGGAACACCAGUGGCGAAGGCGACUCUCUGGUUCGAUACUGACGCUAAGGCGCGAAAGCGUGGGGAGCAAACAGG